This 440-nucleotide long non-coding RNA is filed under the name Capsella rubella. RNAcentral describes it as "long non-coding RNA (CRUB_LNC003237)". Lineage: Eukaryota; Viridiplantae; Streptophyta; Magnoliopsida; Brassicales; Brassicaceae. The record is from RNAcentral.
UGAGAAGUUUUUUUUUUUUGGGGGGCAAAAUUUGAGAAGUAUAUAAACCCCAAAAAUUGCAAAGAGAAGUAUGUGUUUGUUAUUUAGCAGACGCACAUGGUCGAGAGGACAUCCUUCGAUUUCCUCGUGAUUUCCGAAGGCCCAUUUUUUUUUUCUAUUAUUAUAAAAUUUCGAAACAAUGUAAUGAAUAAAUCAUUACAUAUACUUAAGCCAUCAUUUGAACAAAACAUAAGAGUAUAUAACCUUUCAGUAUGUACACAUGCAUACACAUUAGUUUAUACAGUUAUGACUGUUAAAUCUGUUGAAUUGAUAGUGAAGUGAAAUAUAAUUUUGAUAGUGAAAUAUAAUAUAAUUACAUAUUUCUCCAACUGAUUUUUAGUUUUUUUUUUAAAUUACAAAGAGAGAAAAGAAAUUGCUAUUUUAUUUUUAUUUUUUUCAGG